RNAcentral lists this ribosomal RNA (1042 nucleotides) under Pteronemobius ohmachii. Its description in RNAcentral is "bacterial SSU rRNA". It matches the Rfam family "Eukaryotic small subunit ribosomal RNA", at positions 47 to 912 of the family's 1831-position model. The record is from RNAcentral. Lineage: Eukaryota; Metazoa; Arthropoda; Insecta; Orthoptera; Trigonidiidae.
AGCCAUGCAUGUCUCAGUGCAAGCCGAAGUAAGGUGAAACCGCGAAUGGCUCAUUAAAUCAGUUAUGGUUCAUUGGGCAUACACAGUUACAUGGAUAACUGUGGUAAUUCUAGAGCUAAUACAUGCAAUCUGAGUCUCGACCAGCAAUGGAAGGGACGCUUUUAUUAGAUCAAAACCAAUCGGCCGCGGGCCGUGGCUUCGGCUCACGCCCCGGCCGUUUGCUUUGGUGACUCUGGAUAACUUUAUGCCGAUCGCACGGUCUUCGCGCCGGCGACGAUCCCUUCAAAUGUCUGCCUUAUCAACUGACGAUGGUAGGCUCCUUGCCUACCAUGGUUGUAACGGGUGACGGGGAAUCAGGGUUCGAUUCCGGAGAGGGAGCCUGAGAAACGGCUACCACAUCCAAGGAAGGCAGCAGGCGCGCAAAUUACCCACUUCCGGCACGGGGAGGUAGUGACGAAAAAUAACGAUACGGGACUCAUCCGAGGCCCCGUAAUCGGAAUGAGAACACUUUAAAUACUUUAACAAGUAUCCAUUGGAGGGCAAGUCUGGUGCCAGCAGCCGCGGUAAUUCCAGCUCCAAUAGCGUAUAUUAAAGUUGCUGCGGUUAAAAAGCUCGUAGUUGAACUUGUGUCCCGCGCUGCCGGUUCACCGCUCGUCGGUGUUUAACUGGCACGCAUGCGGGACGUCCUACUGGUGGUGGCGAGCCGGGGCGGGGGCGCUGCGUCGCAGAGGCCGGACCCAUCGGUGCGCGCGAGGUUCGAGCGAUCGUCCUCGCGCGUAUUCGACCGGUUUUAACGGACGCGCGCGUUUCCCCGCUUCGGCGGACCCCGAUCAUCCCGCCGCGGUGCUCUUGACUGAGUGUCGCGCGGGCCGGUACGUUUACUUUGAACAAAUUAGAGUGCUUAAAGCAGGCCCUUGUACGCCUGAAUACUGUGUGCAUGGAAUAAUAGAAUAGGACCUCGGUUCUAUUUUGUUGGUUUUAAGAGCCCGAGGUAAUGAUUAAUGGGGAUUGCCGGGGGCAUCCGUAUUGCGACGUUAGAGGU